Molecule: transfer RNA, 76 nt
Filed under: Oscillospiraceae bacterium
Lineage: Bacteria; Bacillati; Bacillota; Clostridia; Eubacteriales; Oscillospiraceae
Description: tRNA-Asn
Rfam family: tRNA
About the family: Transfer RNA (tRNA) molecules are approximately 80 nucleotides in length.
Source: RNAcentral
GCGCUUUUAGCUCAACCGGUAGAGCGGCGGAUUGUUACUCCGAAGGUCACAGGUUCGAAUCCUGUAGAGCGCGCCA